CCUACGGGUGGCAGCAGUGAGGAAUAUUGGUCAAUGGACGGAAGUCUGAACCAGCGACGCCGCGUGAGUGAAGAAGUAUUUCGGUAUGUAAAGCUCUAUCAGCAGGGAAGAAAGAAAUGACGGUACCUGACUAAGAAGCCGCGGCUAACUACGUGCCAGCAGCCGCGGUAAUACGGAGGGGGCGAGCGUUAGCCGGAUUUACUGGGUUUAAAGGGACGGUAGGGGGGGAUGGAAGUUUGAAGGGAAAGGCGGGGGGCCAACCCCCGGACUGCUUUGGAAACUGUAUGGCUGGAGUGCAGGAGAGGUAAGUGGAAUGCCUAGUGUAGCGGUGAAAUGCGUAGAUAUUAGGCGGAACACCAGUGGCGAAGGCGGCUUACUGGCCUGUAACUGACGCUGAGGCUCGAAAGCGUGGGGAGCAAACAGGAUUAGAUACCCCUGUAGUC
RNAcentral lists this ribosomal RNA (443 nucleotides) under uncultured bacterium. RNAcentral's name for it is "partial 16S ribosomal RNA". It matches the Rfam family "Bacterial small subunit ribosomal RNA", at positions 338 to 795 of the family's 1533-position model. The record is from RNAcentral.